AAAUAAGGCAGAAAGGAAUGCCGGCCUCGAGCAAGGACACCUGUUCAUGCCCAGAUCACUUCUGCAUUCAGCCAACAGACUGUUUCUCCCAAAAGAUGGAUGCAGCUAGAUUUUUUUUUUUUGUACCGAUAAUCUGUCUGAAAACUUGGAGAGGAUCUCUUUUCCCCUGUGAAGUCAGGAAAAUGACAGCAAGCAGCAUGGACUGGAGCUUCUAAAAUCACCUCUGCUUUGACCUUGAGGGCCCGUGCUAGAGGGGAGACAGCACCGGCUUAGAAACCCCACGGCUGGGCUCUAGUCCCAGCAUCAGUGGAGCACCAAGGGGAGAAAGUGUUCAUCACUGAUGUACUGACAUUGUGCAGUGGCUUAUGAAGAACCUUUCCAUUGAGGACCCAGUUGAAGCAAUACACUUGGGGAGCCUUAUCGCUGCCCAGGGCUACAUCUUUCCAAUCUCAGACCACGUUCUCACCAUGAAGGAUGAUGGCACCUUUUAUCGUUUCCAGGCUCCGUACUUCUGGCCUUCGAACUGCUGGGAACCUGAAAACACUGACUAUGGAGGAAGACAUUGAAGAAGGAAAGCCAUCUAUCUCUGUAAGAGGACAAUGCAAAAUAAAGCAAGGCUGGAACUGGCAGAUUAUGAAGCAGAAAACUUAGCAAGACUCCAGAGGGCCUUUGCAAGGAAGUGGGAAUUCAUCUUUAUGCAAGCAGAAGCACAAGUCAAGAUUGACCGGAAAAAAGACAAGACAGAAAGGAAAAUUUUGGAUAGUCAAGAACGAGCCUUUUGGGAUGUCCACAGGCCUGUGGCACAUCAGAGAACGGUGAACAGCACUUCAGCACUGUCCUUGGGGCCAUUUUAAACAGCAAAAUCACCAACAAAAAGUACAAAAAUGCAGAAAAGUUGGCACUAAAUUAGCCCUAAAUAGAAGGGUCUGAAACAAAAAGGCAGGCUGUCACCUUGUUCAAUUUCAGUGGGAAACACACAUAUCA
This 984-nucleotide small RNA is filed under the name Pan troglodytes (chimpanzee). Its description in RNAcentral is "processed transcript". Lineage: Eukaryota; Metazoa; Chordata; Mammalia; Primates; Hominidae. The record is from RNAcentral.